GAUGAACGCUAGCUACAGGCUUAACACAUGCAAGUCGAGGGGAAACGAUAGAGAAAGCUUGCUUUUUCUAGGCGUCGACCGGCGCACGGGUGAGUAACGCGUAUCCAACCUGCCCAUCACUUGGGGAUAACCUUGCGAAAGUAAGACUAAUACCCAAUGACGUCUCUAGAAGACAUCUGAAAGAGAUUAAAGAUUUAUCGGUGAUGGAUGGGGAUGCGUCUGAUUAGCUUGUUGGCGGGGUAACGGCCCACCAAGGCGACGAUCAGUAGGGGUUCUGAGAGGAAGGUCCCCCACAUUGGAACUGAGACACGGUCCAAACUCCUACGGGAGGCAGCAGUGAGGAAUAUUGGUCAAUGGACGAGAGUCUGAACCAGCCAAGUAGCGUGAAGGAUGACUGCCCUAUGGGUUGUAAACUUCUUUUAAAGAGGGAAGAGCAGAAGACGGUACCUCUAGAAUAAGGAUCGGNUAACUCCGUGCCAGCAG
Molecule: ribosomal RNA, 483 nt
Filed under: uncultured bacterium
Lineage: Bacteria
Description: bacterial SSU rRNA
Rfam family: Bacterial small subunit ribosomal RNA
Source: RNAcentral